RNAcentral lists this unclassified non-coding RNA (1420 nucleotides) under Hevea brasiliensis (rubber tree). Lineage: Eukaryota; Viridiplantae; Streptophyta; Magnoliopsida; Malpighiales; Euphorbiaceae. The record is from RNAcentral.
AGCUGGCGUUUUUUCUGAUACUUAUGCGAGCAGUUGCUACAAGUCGAUUACGAAGCAACUGAUACUUCAGAGUAGCCAAACUCUUUGUAUGCAUUGGAGAUUGUGGAAUGACUCCAUUUGCCGGGGGAAUUCCUAGAAGACCACAAAUGAGAACCAUAAAUCCCAGUAACAGCAGAUCAUAAUGGUAGGAAGAUGGCUUUCUAAGGUUAAACUCUUUUUGCUGAGCAAGUUGAGAUGCCACACUGUGAUCAAAAUAAUACAGGACCGCUACCAUUGUUGCUGGAAUAAAAGCACCAAUUAUGUGAAGUACUGGGACGUCUAGCAUAUCCUUUAUCACUGUCCAAUUCUCAUAGGCACCAGGUGACCAUGGAUUUGGACUGAAAAGUCGUCUUGGAAUCCCGGUUGGAACAUUUUUACCAGGAAUGUAAGAGACCGCUGUCCAGAUUAAAACCAUGAGUGGCACUCCGUAAUCUGCUGUGAAACCCCGAAGCCAGCCAGAGCCAUAUCGCCAAGAUCUUGCCUUUCGACUCCUUAGAGCUGUGAGUAGAAGACCAAAUGACAAGACCAAUGCAAACAUGCCAUUUGCAAACCUCCAUGAAGGUUGGAACUCAGGGAGAUUUGGAUUUUCUCUCUCUGGUACACGAAAUUCAUAUACCAGUCCUUUGAUUGCUUGCUGCAUGAAAAGCAUUGCAAUUAGAAGGCCAAAGAGUUCCCCAGCAAUACGUGUAAACCUAUUGAUAAUGGAACAAGCUCCCAGGACAGCCAGAAGGAAAAGCAAAAUUGCAGUCCAAAUACACACCCAUGCUGUCCAAGCUAAAAAGAGCUUUGGUCCGAGUUCAGGUCUAUCUUUUGCGAAAUUGUACAUGAAUGUGUACAUCAGCACAGUUGGUUCUGCAACUCCAAGAAUCAACAGAGGUUGGCCUCCAAUGAUAGAGUGCAUAAUCCCACAUAAUGCAGUUGAAGCAAGAGUCUGAACUGCAGUUAUCAAUCCAUCAGUACUUCUUUCCAACUGCUCACCAAAUGAUAUUACUGGAAUUGCUGAAGCAAAAAAUAUAUAGGUAGUUGGAGCUAAAAUCCUGAAGCCUGCGGUAAGACCACUAGUCCAAUCUUGUUUAAAGCACAUUAAUCUCCCUUUGAGGUCAUUUUUAAUUCCACGAAAUGGCACAAAAUUAUCUUCCAUUUUACAAACAAGUGAUUCUCUUCUUCAAUCCAAUAGCCUUCACCAGUUCAAUUCACUACUUGAGUAAAUCUGAUAAUAAUACAUUACACUCUAGGACUAUUAUAUUGAAGAUCCUAAAGCAUCCAAGAAAGUAGCAGUAGUACAUAUAUUUACCUUUGUGAGAAUAGGAUAAUUCCGCUUGAAAUGGAUGAAAAGAUCUGAUGGUAACAAAAGGGUAGAAUAUACAAAGCACCAAAAUGC